GGGGGUGUAAAGGUUUCGACGGGGAUUUCGAAACAUGGGCAGCGGGCAGCGGCGGAGAUAACGCUAUAAACUCUCCACAAAAAAUAACUGACAACAAUCCUGUUGCCAUAGCGGCUUAAUGCCGCUCGUCGGGGUCUGUGAGACCGCAUAGCUUAUUCCGGCGUAGAAUUAUGCGGUGAACGUGAGCGGAUCAAAGCUUUGAGAUCCGCCAUGUAAAAUAUGAAGCUACCGGACCUGAAGCAUGUAUGCCUGCGUCAGGCGAGGGAAAUCCAAAGGACAUACUGCGCCCGGAGACACCUGUGCGGACAGAUUUUCGGACAGGAGUUCAAUUCUCCUCACCUCCACCA
This 347-nucleotide transfer-messenger RNA is filed under the name Oscillospiraceae. RNAcentral describes it as "RUG11783 sp017548825 Standard tmRNA". It matches the Rfam family "transfer-messenger RNA". Rfam says of the family: Bacterial tmRNA, also known as 10Sa RNA or SsrA, is named for its dual tRNA and mRNA-like properties. Its role is to liberate the mRNA from a stalled ribosome. To accomplish this part of the tmRNA is used as a reading frame that ends in a translation stop signal. RNAcentral also lists the same sequence under 1 other name. Lineage: Bacteria; Bacillati; Bacillota; Clostridia; Eubacteriales. The record is from RNAcentral.